This 253-nucleotide unclassified non-coding RNA is filed under the name uncultured Gemmatimonadaceae bacterium. RNAcentral's name for it is "contains 16S-23S intergenic spacer region". It matches the Rfam family "Bacterial small subunit ribosomal RNA", at positions 524 to 776 of the family's 1533-position model. The record is from RNAcentral. Lineage: Bacteria; Pseudomonadati; Gemmatimonadota; Gemmatimonadia; Gemmatimonadales; Gemmatimonadaceae.
UACGGAGGGUGCAAGCGUUGUCCGGAAUCACUGGGCGUAAAGGGCGCGUAGGCGGCGCGGUAAGUCCAUUGUGAAAUCCCGGGGCUCAACUCCGGGGCUGCAGUGGAGACUGUCGUGCUCGAGUACAGUUGGGGCGAGCGGAAUUCCCGGUGUAGCGGUGGAAUGCGUAGAUAUCGGGAAGAACACCAGAAGCGAAGACAGCUCGCUGGGCUGUUACUGACGCUGAGGCGCGAGAGCGAGGGGAGCAAACAGG